Molecule: ribosomal RNA, 497 nt
Filed under: uncultured bacterium
Lineage: Bacteria
Description: partial 16S ribosomal RNA
Rfam family: Bacterial small subunit ribosomal RNA
Source: RNAcentral
GAUGAACGCUGGCGGCGUGCCUAAUACAUGCCAGUCGAGCGAACAGACGAGGCGCUUGCUUCUCUGACGUUAGCGGCGGACGGGUGAGUAACACGUGGAUAACCUACCUAUAAGACUGGGAUAACUUCGGGAAACCGGAUCUCAUACCGGACAAUAUAUUGAACCGCAUGGUUCAAUAGUGAACGACGGUUUUGCUGUCCCUUAUAGAUGGUUCCGGGCCGCAUUAGCUAGUUGGUACGGUAACGGCUUACCAAGGCGACGAUGCGUAGCCGGCCUGAGAGGGUGAUCAGCCACACUGGAACUGAGACACGGUCCAGACUCCUACGGGAGGCAGCAGUGGGGAAUCUUCCGCAAUGGGCGAAAGCCUGACCGAGCAACGCCGCGUGAGUGAAGAAGGUCUUCGGAUCGUAAAACUCUGUUAUUUGGGAAGAACAAAUGUGAGAGUAACUAUGCACGUCUUGACGGUACCUAAACAAAAAGCCACGGCUAACUACGUG